This 270-nucleotide ribosomal RNA is filed under the name uncultured prokaryote. Its description in RNAcentral is "partial 16S ribosomal RNA". It matches the Rfam family "Bacterial small subunit ribosomal RNA", at positions 524 to 794 of the family's 1533-position model. The record is from RNAcentral.
UACGUAGGGGGCGAGCGUUGUCCGGAUUUACUGGGCGUAAAGGGUGAGUAGGCGGUUAUAUAUGUCAGGUGUAAAAGGCUAUGGCUUAACCAUGGUUAGCACUUGAAACUGUAUGACUUGAGUGCAGGAGAGGUAAGUGGAAUUCCUAGUGUAGCGGUGAAAUGCGUAGAUAUUAGGAGGAACACCAGUGGCGAAGGCGACUUACUGGACUGUAACUGACGCUGAGUCACGAAAGCGUGGGUAGCAAACAGGAUUAGAUACCCCUGUAGU